UUAACCCAAUUUCAUCCUCAAACAUAUCUUCUCUCUCUUUUCUCUCUACCCACUCGAGUCUUCACUCUCUAUAUUUCAACACCGCUUCUCCCGGCGGAGUGCUUCAACUAUACCCUUUCUACGAGGCACCCAACCCGUCGUUGCGCGUGAUGUAAAGAACAUACUGUGAACGCAGAUGAUUUGCACUGGGUACGUCGAUUUUAACCGACGACCUGAACUGCUGGGAGAGGCAUAACUACUGUAGGAUUGCCUUCGACAGUAGAAAGGACCAGGUUGUUUGGGGAAGGUAUAACUACUAUUGAUCCAGAAACUGAUGGAGCAACAAAAAGUGAGGAGUUUACAGCAGGAAAGACGCCAUUUCUUUCUCGCACUGGCUUUAGAACUUGAAGCUUACACACGUUGUGGUGGAGUUGGAGGUGACGGUAGUGGUGGUUGUUGUAGUGAUAGUGGUGCAGAUGGUGGUUAUGGUGCUAAGUUUGGGUUAGGUUGGAAUUAUAUAGACACUGUUGUGAUCAAUAAAAUUUAUUUGGGUUAAUUGACCAAUACAUAAUAUGUGACGAACAAAAUAGAUAAUUUGUGAUAUUGAUGCAAUAAUCUGUGAUCUGUGUG
Molecule: long non-coding RNA, 609 nt
Filed under: Olea europaea (common olive)
Lineage: Eukaryota; Viridiplantae; Streptophyta; Magnoliopsida; Lamiales; Oleaceae
Description: long non-coding RNA (OEUR_LNC011271)
Source: RNAcentral